GUCCACGCCGUAAACGAUGAUCACUAGGUGUUGGGAGUCAAAUCUCAGCGCCCAAGCUAACGCGAUAAGUGAUCCGCCUGGGAGUACGUACGCAAGUAUGAAACUCAAAGGAAUUGACGGGGACCCGCACAAGCGGUGGAGCAUGUGGUUUAAUUCGACGCAACGCGAGGAACCUUACCAGCGUUUGACAUCCUAAAGAGUCGACAGAGAUGUUGAUGUGCCCUUUCGGGGGAAUUUAGUGACAGGUGGUGCAUGGCUGUCGU
RNAcentral lists this ribosomal RNA (263 nucleotides) under uncultured bacterium. RNAcentral describes it as "partial 16S ribosomal RNA". It matches the Rfam family "Bacterial small subunit ribosomal RNA", at positions 793 to 1055 of the family's 1533-position model. The record is from RNAcentral.